Long non-coding RNA from Triticum dicoccoides, 298 nucleotides. RefSeq lists it as uncharacterized. Lineage: Eukaryota; Viridiplantae; Streptophyta; Magnoliopsida; Poales; Poaceae. The record is from RefSeq and is a predicted model, not a curated record. The transcript is spliced from 2 exons.
UUUCAUUUCAUAUAUGGACGGCAAGGGCGUCUUCAGCAGCGUCUAAACAGGAUUCGACUGCCCACUCGAUGCCAAGGGAGAUGCAUCGCUGUCGCCGUCAAGGGACUCAACCAGCGCGGCCUCCAGAGAUUCACUUAAUUUGGUAUAAAAACAAUAUAGCCACCGCCAUGUCGAUGAACUCUGAAGCUGAAUUGUUUUUUGUGGUUUCAUAUUUUAUUUGGAAGAAUGUCCGGGACCAACUAUCAUUUAAAACACGAAGAAUAUGGUAUAUAAUCGCUGAGAUGCUUUGUUCUUUUUC